RNAcentral lists this ribosomal RNA (533 nucleotides) under uncultured Oscillospiraceae bacterium. Its description in RNAcentral is "bacterial SSU rRNA". It matches the Rfam family "Bacterial small subunit ribosomal RNA", at positions 856 to 1400 of the family's 1533-position model. The record is from RNAcentral. Lineage: Bacteria; Bacillati; Bacillota; Clostridia; Eubacteriales; Oscillospiraceae.
CACAAUAAGUAUUCCACCUGGGGAGUACGACCGCAAGGUUGAAACUCAAAGGAUUGACGGGGGCCCGCACAAGCAGUGGAUUAUGUGGUUUAAUUCGACGCAACGCGAAGAACUUACCAGGGUUUGACAUCCAACUAACGAAGUAGAGAUACAUUAGGUGCCCUUCGGGGAAAUUGAGACAGGUGGUGCAUGGUUGUCGUCAGCUCGUGUCGUGAGAUGUUGGGUUAAGUCCCCAACGAGCGCAACCCCUAUUGUUAGUUGCUACGCAAGAGCACUCUAGCAAGACUGCCGUUACAAAACGGAGGAAGGCGGGGACGACGUCAAAUCAUCAUGCCCCUUAUAUCCUGGGCUACCACGUAAUACAAUGGCCGUCAACAAAGGGAAGCAAUACCGCGAGGUGGAGCAAAUCCCCAAAACGGUCUCAGUUCGGAUUGUGGGCUGAAACCCGCCCACAUGAAGUUGGAAUUGCUAGUAUCGCGGAUCAGCAUGCCGCGGUGAAUACGUUCCCGGGCCUUGCACACACCGCCCGUAAG